RNAcentral lists this ribosomal RNA (350 nucleotides) under uncultured Anaerolineaceae bacterium. RNAcentral's name for it is "bacterial SSU rRNA". It matches the Rfam family "Bacterial small subunit ribosomal RNA", at positions 1017 to 1382 of the family's 1533-position model. Lineage: Bacteria; Bacillati; Chloroflexota; Anaerolineae; Anaerolineales; Anaerolineaceae. The record is from RNAcentral.
CCUUCGGGAGCUUGUACAGGUGCUGCAUGGCUGUCGUCAGCUCGUGUCGUGAGAUGUUCGGUUAAGUCCGCUAACGAGCGCAACCCUCGCUGUGUGUUACAAGUGUCACACGGAACUGCCGGUCAUAAACCGGAGGAAGGUGGGAUGACGUCAAGUCAGCAUGGCCUUUAUAUCCUGGGCUACACACACGCUACAAUGGGAAGGGACAAUAGGUUGCGAAGCCGCGAGGCGGAGCCAAUCCAGCAAAACUUCCCUCAGUUCAGAUUGCAGGCUGCAACCCGCCUGCAUGAAGUUGGAGUUGCUAGUAAACGCAGGUCAGCCAUACUGCGUUGAAUACGUUCCCGGGGCUU